AACGAACGCUGGCGGCAUGCCUAACACAUGCAAGUCGAACGAGAUCUUCGGGUCUAGUGGCGCACGGGUGCGUAACGCGUGGGAAUCUGCCCUUUGGUUCGGAAUAACAGUUAGAAACGACUACUAAUACCGGAUGAUGACGAAAGUCCAAAGAUUUAUCGCCAGAGGAUGAGCCCGCGUAGGAUUAGCUAGUUGGUGUGGUAAAGGCGCACCAAGGCGACGAUCCUUAGCUGGUCUGAGAGGAUGAUCAGCCACACUGGGACUGAGACACGGCCCAGACUCCUCAGGGAGGCAGCAGUGGGGAAUAUUGGACAAUGGGCGAAAGCAUGAUCCAGCACUGCCGCGUGAGUGAUGAAGGUCUUAGGGUUGUAAAGCUCUUUUAACCGGGAUGAUAAUGACAGUACCGGGAGAAUAAGCUCCGGCUAACUCCGUGCCAGCCGCCGCCGUAA
Molecule: ribosomal RNA, 449 nt
Filed under: uncultured bacterium
Lineage: Bacteria
Description: partial 16S ribosomal RNA
Rfam family: Bacterial small subunit ribosomal RNA
Source: RNAcentral